AACGAACGCUGGCGGCAGGCUUAACACAUGCAAGUCGAACGCACCUUUCGGGGUGAGUGGCAGACGGGUGAGUAACGCGUGGGAAUCUACCCUUCUCUACGGGAUAGCUCCGGGAAACUGGAAUUAAUACCGUAUACGUCCUGAGGGAGAAAGAUUUAUCGGGGAAGGAUGAGCCCGCGUUGGAUUAGCUAGUUGGUGGGGUAAAGGCCUACCAAGGCGACGAUCCAUAGCUGGUCUAAGAGGAUGAUCAGCCACAUUGGGACUGAGACACGGCCCAAACUCCUGCGGGAGGCAGCAGUGGGGAAUAUUGGACAAUGGGCGCAAGCCUGAUCCAGCCAUGCCGCGUGAGUGAUGAAGGCCCUAGGGUUGUAAAGCUCUUUCAGUGGGGACGAUAAUGACGGUACCCACAGAAGAAGCCCCGGCUAACUUCGUG
This 433-nucleotide ribosomal RNA is filed under the name uncultured bacterium. Its description in RNAcentral is "partial 16S ribosomal RNA". It matches the Rfam family "Bacterial small subunit ribosomal RNA", at positions 29 to 507 of the family's 1533-position model. The record is from RNAcentral.